UGAUAGGAAUGCUUAGUGGCGGACUGGUGAGUAACGCGUGAGGAACCUGCCUUCAGAGGGGACGAACAGUUGGAAACGACUGCUAAUACCGCAUGACACAUAGAGGUCACAUGACCUUUUAUGUCAAAGAUUUAUCGCUGAAAGAUGGCCUCGCGUCUGAUUAGCUAGUUGGUGAGGUAACGGCCCACCAAGGCGACGAUCAGUAGCCGGACUGAGAGGUUGACCGGCCACAUUGGGACUGAGAUACGGCCCAGACUCC
RNAcentral lists this ribosomal RNA (259 nucleotides) under uncultured Oscillibacter sp. RNAcentral describes it as "partial 16S ribosomal RNA". It matches the Rfam family "Bacterial small subunit ribosomal RNA", at positions 80 to 339 of the family's 1533-position model. The record is from RNAcentral. Lineage: Bacteria; Bacillati; Bacillota; Clostridia; Eubacteriales; Oscillospiraceae.